RNAcentral lists this transfer RNA (71 nucleotides) under Marmota monax (woodchuck). RNAcentral's name for it is "tRNA.Ala". It matches the Rfam family "tRNA". From Rfam's summary of the family: Transfer RNA (tRNA) molecules are approximately 80 nucleotides in length. Their secondary structure includes four short double-helical elements and three loops (D, anti-codon, and T loops). The record is from RNAcentral. Lineage: Eukaryota; Metazoa; Chordata; Mammalia; Rodentia; Sciuridae.
GGGGUUGUGACUCAGUGGUAGAGCGCUUGCCUAGCAUGUGUGAGGCUCUGAGUUCAAUUCUCAGCACCACA